AGUGAAUUUGCAUUCUAGUAUCUUUUUAGCUUAGAUCUUUUAUUAUUAACAAUUAUCAUCAGGAUGAUGCUUGAUUCUAAGUCUAAUUAGUAAUAGUUGAAUAUCAGUUCAAUGAGCAGUAAAAGAUGGUGAAUAAGGGUGCUAGUUUUCAAAUUUUGAAUGAUAGUAUUAUAUGCUUUUUCAUCUCCUAGUUUAGUUAAAUUAAUAGAAUGAUUCAUGAAAGUCAAUACUAUUAACUCACAUUAGAUUCAAAGAAGGCAUACAUGAUUUUCUAUGUAUAGAAUGAUUGAGUGAAAGAAAAUCUUUUAUGAGUGUAUGUAGGAAUGCGAGCAUAAAAUAAUUUCCCCAUCUUUUAUUAUCUCUUAGUGUGGGAAUGGUAAUUGUAUGUCAUUGGCUGACUUCUCUUCAUCACGAGACUGAUCAGAUCUGCUACCCCCGCUGCUCUAACUGCUGCUUUCAUUAGUGACUUCAUCAUCCCAGACUCUGCACUUUGACCGGGGAAUACUUUAAAAAAGAAACACAGCUUCUGCCCAAACGAGGUAAGGGACAAUCAUCAUCCCAAAGAUCCUUUCCUUGGUUUGAUUCAGAAAUUAAAAUAAGAUAUGGUUUCUUUUCUCAAAAUGAAGAUUUAUGAAAAGACUUUGUAAUUUUGGGUGGCUGUGCACCAUGAACUGAGUGACUAAGUUAUAAUAAUGAUAAUCAGAGUAAAAAUGAAACAGUUUCAGGCUGUGCCCAAUGCUGCAUGUCGAAGAAAGUGCAGAGAACCUCAUUGGUUCGUGCCCUUUGUUUUCCCCCUCUCUAUUUUUCUAUUUUUUUUUUUUAAUAUUUAUACAUUUUAACACAAAUGCUCGACUUAUGUUGACAUUGUUUAUAAAUUUGUAUAAAUGAGUUUGGUGAGAUCUUUUUCAUAUCUUUCUUUUUAGUGUUUGUGACAUAGAAAUGGUGAAGCACAUCCAGCCAUUAAACUUGAGAAGUUUGUUUCCCAAAAU
This 989-nucleotide long non-coding RNA is filed under the name Durio zibethinus. RNAcentral's name for it is "long non-coding RNA (DZIB_LNC000397)". Lineage: Eukaryota; Viridiplantae; Streptophyta; Magnoliopsida; Malvales; Malvaceae. The record is from RNAcentral.